This 78-nucleotide long non-coding RNA is filed under the name Pan troglodytes (chimpanzee). RNAcentral's name for it is "lincRNA". Lineage: Eukaryota; Metazoa; Chordata; Mammalia; Primates; Hominidae. The record is from RNAcentral.
UGAGACAGGCUACCAUCUCUGCGUGCAAUCCCCGCGGAAUUUACGCACUUUCGUCUUGUGCUCUUAGAUGUUCUCCAG